This 253-nucleotide ribosomal RNA is filed under the name uncultured bacterium. Its description in RNAcentral is "partial 16S ribosomal RNA". It matches the Rfam family "Bacterial small subunit ribosomal RNA", at positions 524 to 776 of the family's 1533-position model. The record is from RNAcentral.
UACGAAGGGAGCUAGCGUUGUUCGGAAUCACUGGGCGUAAAGCGCACGUAGGCGGAUGUGUCAGUCAGGGGUGAAAUCCCGGAGCUCAACUUCGGAACUGCCUUUGAUACAGCACAUCUGGAGUCCAGAAGAGGUGGGUGGAAUUCCUAGUGUAGAGGUGAAAUUCGUAGAUAUUAGGAAGAACACCGGUGGCGAAGGCGGCCCACUGGUCCGGUACUGACGCUGAGGUGCGAAAGCGUGGGGAGCAAACAGG